This 433-nucleotide ribosomal RNA is filed under the name uncultured Adlercreutzia sp. RNAcentral describes it as "partial 16S ribosomal RNA". It matches the Rfam family "Bacterial small subunit ribosomal RNA", at positions 341 to 792 of the family's 1533-position model. The record is from RNAcentral. Lineage: Bacteria; Bacillati; Actinomycetota; Coriobacteriia; Eggerthellales; Eggerthellaceae.
ACGGGAGGCAGCAGUGGGGAAUUUUGCGCAAUGGGGGCAACCCUGACGCAGCAACGCCGCGUGCGGGAUGGAGGCCUUCGGGCUGUGAACCGCUUUCAGCAGGGAAGACAUCGACGGUACCUGCAGAAGAAGCCCCGGCUAAAUACGUGCCAACAGCCGCGGUAAUACGUAUGGGGCGAGCGUUAUCCGGAUUCAUUGGGCGUAAAGCGCGCGUAGGCGGCUGCCUAAGCGGAGUUUCUAACCUUGGGGCUCAACCUCAAGCCGGACUCCGAACUGGGCGGCUCGAGUGCGGUAGGGGCAGGCGGAAUUCCACGUGUAGCGGUGAAAUGCGCAGAUAUGUGGAGGAACACCGAUGGCGAAGGCAGCCUGCUGGGCCGCCACUGACGCUGAGGCGCGAAAGCUAGGGGAGCGAACAGGAUUAGAUACCCUGGUA